This is a long non-coding RNA of Oncorhynchus gorbuscha (pink salmon), 1426 nucleotides long. RefSeq lists it as uncharacterized. The transcript is spliced from 2 exons. Lineage: Eukaryota; Metazoa; Chordata; Actinopteri; Salmoniformes; Salmonidae. The record is from RefSeq and is a predicted model, not a curated record.
AGUAGGCUCAGACAGGACAGGAGCUGUAAUCAGAGAGAAAUCUUUGAUUUUGUUUAUUUUUUCCAUUAGAAAUCAAAAAAGAAAUGGAGCAACUGAGGCCUGCACUUCUUAUUGUCUUUAUCUCAACAGCAAUCGCAAAACCAUUCAACAGGCCUGGACACCACAAUGGUCCACAGUUCAACAGGCCUGGACACAUUUACAUUUACAUUUACAUUUAAGUCAUUUAGCAGACGCUCUUAUCCAGAGCUACUUACAAAUUGGACACCAUAAUGGUCCACAGUUCAACAGGCCUGGACACCACAAUGGUCCACAGUUCAACAGGCCUGGACACCACAAUGUUCCACAGUUCAACAGGCCUGGACACCACAAUGUUCCACAGUUCAACAGGCCUGGACACCACAAUGUUCCACAGUGCAACAGGCCUGGACACCACAAUGUUCCACAGUUCAACAGGCCUGGACACCACAAUGUUCCACAGUUCAACAGGCCUGGACACCACAAUGUUCCACAGUGCAACAGGCCUGGACACCACAAUGUUCCACGAAUCCACGAGUCCUCAGAAUCUGAUGAAUCAAGAUUGACACCAGGACCAACUGCUCCAACCACAGUGAACCCUCCCACUCCUGCCAUGUCAACUAUCCCACCAGUGACAGAAAUGUCCACGAAUGGGCCAAUUGUCGGUGAAAUGACACCGUCACCAGGGAACGUUACUGCACAUGUCACUGAGGACAUUGCAACUCCCCCUUCACCAACUCCCACUCCAGCAACUCCCCCUUCACCAACUCCCCCUUCACCAACUCCCCCUUCACCAACUCCCCCUUCACCAACUCCCCCUUCACCAACUCCCCCUUCACCAACUCCCCCUUCACCAACUCCCCCUUCACCAACUAGAGGAGACAACUAAUAAUGAGAGAAUUCAUGAGAAUGCUUUAUUAUAAUUAUUCAAGAGUUCAUAAAUCAUUGCUUUUUUUAGGUCAUCAUUUUUUGUAUGGGCUGUUUACAGUACCUGCAUUAUAUGAAAUAUCUUUCUUGGCAUUUUAUUUGUGUUUUUUAUGCAGCAGCAUUUAUAGGUAAUGUUAUCGAUAGCUUCAUAAUAACCCUAUCAGAAGCCCUGUAAUCUUUACUAGUUCAACAUAUGGUGGUAGUUACAGGUGUUUGGAUGUCUGUGAACUAGGUGAUCAUAAUCUGCUGGGUGUGAUAUAAACAAUUGUGAAUGUUUGAUUGUUUCAUUGCUAUUGCUGUGUUAUGCUCCAGUAUGUCUCUUUACACACAGUAUGUAGUGACUUGCUCCUUGGAGUUUUAGGCUGGUUAUUUGUAAAGUACAUCGAGACAACUGCUGAUUUACAAAGGGCUUAAUAACAUACAUUUGAUUGAUUGAUUGAUAUUUGUUGUGAACUUGUGUACUCAAUAAAGAGAUAGAAAAAUA